GACGAACGCUGGCGGCGUGCUUAACACAUGCAAGUCGAACGGUGAAGGGGCCUGCUUUUGUGGGCCCUGGAUGAGUGGCGAACGGGUGAGUAACACGUGAGUAACCUGCCCCCUUCUUCUGGAUAACCGCAUGAAAGUGUGGCUAAUACGGGAUAUUCUGGUUCUGUCGCAUGAUGGGUCUGGGAAAGAUUGCGCCUUUGGGUGUUUUUGGUGGGGGAUGGGCUGGCGGUCUAUGAGCUUGUGGGUGGGGGGGUGGCCUACCAGGGCGGGGGCGGGUAGCCGGCCGGAGGGGGGGGGCGGUCACACUGGGACUGAGACACGGCCCAGACUCCUGCGGGAGGCAGCAGUGGGGGGGAGGGCACAAUGGGCGGAAGCGUGAUGCCGCCGCCGCGGGGGGGAGGGGGGCGCUCGGGUUGUGAACCUCUUUUGACGGUGAAGAAGGGCCUGCUCUUUGUGGGGGGGUUGACGGUAGCCGGGUUAUGAAGCGCCGGCUAACUACGUG
Molecule: ribosomal RNA, 502 nt
Filed under: uncultured bacterium
Lineage: Bacteria
Description: partial 16S ribosomal RNA
Rfam family: Bacterial small subunit ribosomal RNA
Source: RNAcentral